This 469-nucleotide ribosomal RNA is filed under the name uncultured Neisseria sp. Its description in RNAcentral is "bacterial SSU rRNA". It matches the Rfam family "Bacterial small subunit ribosomal RNA", at positions 21 to 479 of the family's 1533-position model. Lineage: Bacteria; Pseudomonadati; Pseudomonadota; Betaproteobacteria; Neisseriales; Neisseriaceae. The record is from RNAcentral.
GGCUCAGAUUGAACGCUGGCGGCAUGCUUUACACAUGCAAGUCGAACGGCAGCACGAAAGAGCUUGCUCUUUUGGUGGCGAGUGGCGAACGGGUGAGUAAUACAUUGGAACGUACCGAGUAAUGGGGGAUAACUGUCCGAAAGGAUGGCUAAUACCGCAUACGCUCUGAGGAGGAAAGCGGGGGACCUUCGGGCCUCGCGUUAUUCGAGCGGCCAAUGUCUGAUUAGCUAGUUGGUGGGGUAAAGGCCUACCAAGGCGACGAUCAGUAGUGGGUCUGAGAGGAUGAUCCGCCACACUGGGACUGAGACACGGCCCAGACUCCUACGGGAGGCAGCAGUGGGGAAUUUUGGACAAUGGGCGAAAGCCUGAUCCAGCCAUGCCGCGUGUCUGAAGAAGGCCUUCGGGUUGUAAAGGACUUUUGUCAGGGAAGAAAGGGUUUGGGUUAAUACCCUGAGCUUAUGACGGUACC